UUCGGGAAAAGUUAAAAAAAAACCAAAUUUAAAGUGAUUAAAUUUCACCGUUUAAAUUUGGUUUUUAUGAUAGGACCUUAUCAUAAACAUCUCCGAUUUACCUUUAGGUCUGCCAGUAUAAAAAUAAAAUUUCCUGGAAUUUGUAUCGAAUAAGUGUCACUCAUACAUUUUGAUAGGGGAGGGUGUGGGCUCAUUGGAUACAGGAAGAAAUGUUAGCCCAAAACGCGAAAUAUUGAUACCAAUGUUUUGUAAAAUGAUUUUUUUCAUGGGAACUUCAGUUCGCCAUGACUUAGAAAUCGCUCUGGUCUUUUCCUCUCUUUUUCUAUGGAACCCCAAUGGGAUGGUCUUGAAAAUGCCCAGUGUUGGUUUUUGGUUUUCAAAAGCACACCACGCGAAAGAUUCUGCAACUUUCUCCGGCCAAUUAGGAAAAAAAUAGUUCUGGUGAACAGCAUUUUUGCGCAAGCUUUACAGGUUGUUUUAUUUUAUUUUAUUUUAUUUUUAUUAAUUUUUAUUAAUUUUUUUAUUUUUAGUUAACCCGGUUCCAAACGUAUGAGGAUGAUCAGUUUUUGAACAAUUACUAUAAAAGAGAACUGGACGCUGUUCCGCGACGAGAUUACCAAUUCUGGCUUUUGAUGGAAGAGCUGUACAAUUUCACGCCCGUUUUUAUAUUUUUGCGACCGAAGGACAAGCAUGAUAUUUGGGACUUAACCGAGUCCUUCACAGGUCAAUUAUGGUUUGCCACUGGUGUCCUACUUUUAUGCUUCAUCGCUGUUUUCCAUUGGUCAUCUUGUUUACACGACGACACGCAGAAUGAACGCAGCUCAUUGCUUUUUAUUGUUGCUGUCAUGUCUCAAAGAGGUAUUUUUUUAAGAAAAGGCAGAAUUACGAUUUUCAAUCUUAAUCUAAUCGUUUUCUUUUAAAAUAUAUGAUAGUACCUCAAUUUAUUUAAACCCUCAGUA
This 959-nucleotide long non-coding RNA is filed under the name Bemisia tabaci. Its description in RNAcentral is "lncRNA ENSSWEETPG002643". Lineage: Eukaryota; Metazoa; Arthropoda; Insecta; Hemiptera; Aleyrodidae. The record is from RNAcentral.